AUACGGAGGGUGCAAGCGUUAAUCGGAAUUACAGGGCGUAAAGCAUACGUAGGCGGUUAAGUCAGUCAGAUGUGAAAGCCCUGGGCUCAACCUGGGAACUGCAUUUGAUACUGCUUGGCUAGAAUAUGGUAGAGGGAAGUGGAAUUCCGGGUGUAGCGGUGAAAUGCGUAGAUAUCCGGAGGAACACCAGUGGCGAAGGCGGCUUCCUGGACCAAUAUUGACGCUGAGGUACGAAAGCGUGGGUAGCAAACAGGAUUAGAAACCCCGGUAGUCC
RNAcentral lists this ribosomal RNA (274 nucleotides) under uncultured bacterium. RNAcentral describes it as "partial 16S ribosomal RNA". It matches the Rfam family "Bacterial small subunit ribosomal RNA", at positions 523 to 796 of the family's 1533-position model. The record is from RNAcentral.